GUAAUUGCCAUGUCCUUUAGCGUCCUUUGUUUUUCUCCCUCUCUCCAAAGCAUGAAUCUCUUUAUUAAAGGGUAAAAUACUACAUUCUUUACUUGAACCAAACAACUUUUAAUUAACCUCAAAUAUCUUUAAUCAAAAGAGUAAAGUAAACCUUUAUUCUUCCUUUAAUUUGCUUUCUCUUCCUUUAAUCUCUUCUAACAGCAACUAAUCCAAUUAUUAUAAGCUUAAUUAAUCAAAAUGGGCAAAUGUUUUAGCUUUGCAUCAUCAAUAGAUUCCUGCUACAGAUACUCCUUUGAAAGAGCAGGAUUAAAAUCAAUCACAACAAAUUUAGGAGAAGGUACAACAAUGCAUUGUUGGGCACCCAAAAACAACAAACAAAACAAACCAAAUCUAGUCUUAUUACAUGGAAUUGGGGCAAAUGCUAUGUGGCAAUGGGAUUACUUUAUAUCUCCAUUAAUCCCAAAAUUUAACGUUUAUGUCCCUGAUCUUGUCUUCUUUGGCGAGUCUUACACGACUCGGUCCGAACGAACCGAGUCGUUUCAAGCACAGUGUGUGAUGAAGAUGAUGGAGAAAUUAGGAGUAAAGAAAAUGAGUGUUUGUGGAGUGAGUUAUGGUGGGUUUGUGGCUUAUAGUAUGACAGCUCAAUUUGCUGAUGCUAUAGAGAAAUUGGUGUUGGUUUGUUCAGGGAUUUGUUUGGAAGAGAAAGAUAUGGAAGAUGGGAUGUUUAAAGUUUCUAAUCUUGAUGAUGCUGCUGAUAUUUUGUUGCCUCAAACUCCUGCUAAAUUGAAAGAAUUGUUGAAAUUUGCGUUUUAUAAGCCUAACAAGUUUGUUCCUUCUUGCUUCCUUCAAGAUUUUAUUCAAGUGUUGUGCGCUGAACAUCGUGAGGAGAGAAAACAGUUGAUACAAGCCUUGCACAAGGAUAGGAAACUCGCUAACCUUCCUAAGAUAAAUCAGAACACAUUAAUAAUAUGGGGGGAACAUGAUCAAAUAUUUCCUACAGAGCUUGCUCACAGAUUAAAACGGCAUAUUGGUGAUAGCGCCAAACUAGUGUUCAUAAAGAAAGCAGGGCACGCCCUUAACAUAGAGAAGCCCAAAGCUAUGUACAAGGAGAUGAAGGCUUUUCUCUUGAAUGCAGAUGUCAAACCUCAAUCUAAUGGAAACACCAAAUAAUAGAUGUAUUAAUUGCAUCUAAUUCUUCCUAUUUCCUAAUGAUGAACAUCCAAAUGUUGAAUAUGUAUUAAUCACUACAAGAUUUGAACAUGUUUUAGAGUAGUAAGGACAAAAAGAAGAUGGAUGACGUUUGACAUUCAAUAACAGAAUUAGAAGAAGAAUAAAAGCUCAUGGUUUAGAUAGCAAAUGACCAUUUAGAACAACGAGACAUCUUGAUUUUAUUAGAAUAAAUAAAUGAUAAUAGUUAACAGAAGGAAAGCAGGAAUAUAUAUACGCAUGAAGAUGAAGAGCAUCACUGCCGUGGGAAAGUAUUCCUUGUCCAGAUGUAGAAGCAACAUAAUUAAGGGUCUAUAUCCGGUCGUGUUUAAGAUCGUUGAUAGUACCUAUGACUUAGUCUAUGGUCGUGUGCUCGUCAAAGGAAUCCAAAGAUGUUAGAAAAGGUAUAUCGCUUAGGAUGUCAAAUGUAGACAGGAGGUCUACUGUUCCCAAGUUGAUGAUCUAACGCUGCUGGAAAUUGGAGACUGUGCACUGUUCCCAGACUGAAGUCAGAAGAUAAUACGUCUGCUGGAAUUCUGAUUAUUAUUAUAUUUUCUGAUAUUUAGUUGAUGUGUUAGUUAAAAUUAAACACAGUGAAGAGUUUAUAAAUCCCUAGGGGUCGUGGUUUUUCCUUCUAUUUAGGCCUAGAAGGUUUCCACGUAAAAUCGUGUUGUCUCUUUCAUUAUUUCGCUCUAAGUUUAAGUUUUAUUUCUUGUAUCUAAUUCCGCAAAAACAGGGCAAAAACACUUAAACUUGUAACAACAACAAUUCACCCCCCCUCUUGUUGCUGUUCCCAUCUCUAACACAGUCUACACUUUGCCACCAAGCCGGCUUUGUACAGUUCCAAGGAUCCAUCAGCUCUCAGCUUGAUUUUGUAGACCCAUCUUGAACCAAUGGCUUUUUUACCUGGGAGCAAAGGAGCAAUCUCCUAUGUAUUAUUUUAUGCUAGGGCUUCAAGUUCUAUUUGCAUAACAUCUUGCCAAUUAGGAUCUUUAACAGCUUCUCUGUAUGAAGU
This is an RNA transcript of Amaranthus tricolor (Joseph's coat), 2221 nucleotides long. RefSeq lists it as uncharacterized. The record is from RefSeq and is a predicted model, not a curated record. The transcript is spliced from 6 exons. Lineage: Eukaryota; Viridiplantae; Streptophyta; Magnoliopsida; Caryophyllales; Amaranthaceae.